UCUUCCUUACGAAAGCAGUCUCGUGUGACACUUGUAACACACGAUAGGGGUUGCGCUCGUUAAUCCACUUAAGGAGACCUCUCACGAGACGAGCUGACGACAGCCGUGCAGCACCUGUCCAGCGGCCUUGCGGGGUCCUCCGUUUCUGGAGGAUUUCCACUGGAUUUCAAGCCUUGGUGAGGUUCUUCGCUUAGAGUCGAAUUGAACCGCAUGAUCCACCGCUUGUGCGAGUUCCCGCCUAUUUCUUUGAGUUUUAAUCUUGCGAUCGUACUUCCCAGGCGACAGAUUUAACGCGUUAGCUACGCCACUGGAAGGGUCGAUGCUCCCAAUAGCUAAUCUGCAUCGUUUAGGGCGUGGACUA
Molecule: unclassified non-coding RNA, 361 nt
Filed under: uncultured bacterium
Lineage: Bacteria
Description: contains 16S-23S intergenic spacer region
Source: RNAcentral